GGGAGUCUUGACCGCCGCCGGGCUCUUGGUACCUCAGCGCGAGCGCCAGGCGUCCGGCCGCCGUGGCUAUGUUCGUGUCCGAUUUCCGCAAAGAGUUCUACGAGGUGGUCCAGAGCCAGAGGGUCCUUCUCUUCGUGGCCUCGGACGUGGAUGCUCUGUGUGCGUGCAAGAUCCUUCAGGCCUUGUUCCAGUGUGACCACGUGCAAUAUACGCUGGUUCCAGUUUCUGGGUGGCAAGAACUUGAAACUGCAUUUCUUGAGCAUAAAGAACAGUUUCAUUAUUUUAUUCUCAUAAACUGUGGAGCUAAUGUAGACCUAUUGGAUAUUCUUCAACCUGAUGAAGACACUAUAUUCUUUGUGUGUGACACCCAUAGGCCAGUCAAUGUCAUCAAUGUAUACAACGAUACCCAGAUCAAAUUACUCAUUAAACAAGAUGAUGACCUUGAAGUUCCCGCCUAUGAAGACAUCUUCAGGGAUGAAGAGGAGGAUGAAGAGCAUUCAGGAAAUGACAGCGAUGGGUCAGAGCCUUCUGAGAAGCGCACACGGUUAGAAGAGGAGAUAGUGGAGCAAACCAUGCGGAGAAGGCAGCGGCGAGAGUGGGAGGCCCGGAGUGGCUCUGGGAGUGAACCUGUGGCCGCUGCGUUGGAGAAGAGCUCCAGGUUGUUCCCCGGUCCCAUGAGUGACAGGACAGCCCCAAGGUCUCCCAGAAGAGA
RNAcentral lists this small RNA (712 nucleotides) under Pan troglodytes (chimpanzee). Its description in RNAcentral is "processed transcript". The record is from RNAcentral. Lineage: Eukaryota; Metazoa; Chordata; Mammalia; Primates; Hominidae.